UCCAAUCCAUGGGUUUUGUGAUCCGUUGCACCCCUAUUUGAGAGGGAUGGGAAAUUAUAUUGCAAGCCAUUAUGUCAUUGUUUUAUUAAAAAAAUGUCUGGUACAUAAAUGGUGUAGUUACAUAAGAAAUUAAUUGCUCCAAAUAUAGGCAGUUUAAAACAUAGCAACCGUAUUGUCAAUGUCGGCAACCAAAAGCUGAUGCCUGGUUGCCAAGCCGGCGGCCACUUUAAAAAGUUAGGGUUGAGCCCUGCCAACAGAA
Long non-coding RNA from Etheostoma spectabile (orangethroat darter), 259 nucleotides. RefSeq lists it as uncharacterized. The transcript is spliced from 3 exons. The record is from RefSeq and is a predicted model, not a curated record. NCBI's taxonomy places the organism in Eukaryota, Metazoa, Chordata, Actinopteri, Perciformes, Percidae.